This 440-nucleotide ribosomal RNA is filed under the name uncultured bacterium. RNAcentral describes it as "partial 16S ribosomal RNA". It matches the Rfam family "Bacterial small subunit ribosomal RNA", at positions 338 to 795 of the family's 1533-position model. The record is from RNAcentral.
CCUACGGGGGGCAGCAGUGGGGGAUAUUGCACAAUGGGGGGAACCCUGAUGCAGCGACGCCGCGUGGGUGAAGAAGCGCCUCGGCGCGUAAAGCCCUGUCAGCAGGGAAGAAAAUGACGGUACCUGAAGAAGAAGCCCCGGCUAACUACGUGCCAGCAGCCGCGGUAAUACGUAGGGGGCACGCGUUAUCCGGAUUUACUGGGUGGAAAGGGGGCGCAGACGGCGAUGCAAGCCAGGAGUGAAAGCCCGGGGCCCAACCCCGGGACUGCUCUUGGAACUGCGUGGCUGGAGUGCAGGAGGGGCAGGCGGAAUUCCUGGUGUAGCGGUGAAAUGCGUAGAUAUCAGGAGGAACACCGGUGGCGAAGGCGGCCUGCUGGACUGCAACUGACGUUGAGGCCCGAAAGCGUGGGGAGCAAACAGGAUUAGAUACCCUAGUAGUC